Molecule: long non-coding RNA, 548 nt
Organism: Aethina tumida (small hive beetle)
Lineage: Eukaryota; Metazoa; Arthropoda; Insecta; Coleoptera; Nitidulidae
Exons: 2
Source: RefSeq, a predicted model, not a curated record
GUAUUGAUUUAAUCAAAUAAUCCAUAACUUUUCAACAAAUAAUGCCAGAGAUAUUCAUAUUCAUAGCACAAUAAUUAGCACUGUGCAGUUCCAUUACACACAGUGGAUAUUUUAAAAAAUUAACUAACGGUAAAUAGUGGUACCACUCCGGGGCAAACAAGUAAUAAUUAGCCGAAUCCAAGGCGACUAUUGAAUCAUCUUCUUUGUCUUCAGUCAGCGAUAAUCGUUCGAAUGAACUUGUAUCACAAAAUGCGCCUAAUAAAUUUGGUACUGUUUGUUUUCUUGAUUGUGACCGUAUGUGCCGAUCACGUUACCAAUUUAGACAAGACGAGAAACAAUUCUACAGCAAAAUCACCAACGAGAGGCCCUCCGGUGGGAUCUAUAAUAAACGUCAGCACCAAGUGCCCGGAUGGAUAUCAGUGGGCUGAAGGACAGUGUCGAGAAGUGUUUUAGAAGAUUCUCAUCCUUAUGGAAUUUAUUGACCGUCCAAUAAUUAUAAUGUAUUAACCCUGCUGUGAAAAAUAAAUGUAAUAAAAUGUAAUAUUCUA